Molecule: ribosomal RNA, 424 nt
Filed under: uncultured bacterium
Lineage: Bacteria
Description: bacterial SSU rRNA
Rfam family: Bacterial small subunit ribosomal RNA
Source: RNAcentral
AUAUUGCGCAAUGGGCGAAAGCCUGACGCAGCAACGCCGCGUGUGUGAUGAAGGCCUUCGGGUUGUAAAGCACUUUCGGUUGGGAAGAAGGGUGUGCUGGCAAACAGUCAGUACAUUUGAUGGUACCAAAAGAAGAAGCACCGGCUAACUUCGUGCCAGCAGCCGCGGUAAUACGAAGGGUGCGAGCGUUGUUCGGAAUUACUGGGCGUAAAGGGUUCGUAGGCGGGAAGAUAAGUUAUGUGUGAAAUCCCUGGGCUUAACCCAGGACGUGCACGUAAAACUGUUUUUCUUGAGUGUUGGAGAGGGUAGUGGAAUUGCUGGUGUAGGAGUGACAUCCGUAGAGAUCAGCAGGAACAUCAGAGGCGAAAGCGACUGCCUGGCCAAACACUGACGCUGAGGAACGAAAGCGUGGGGAGCAAACAGG